ACCUAGUAGUACGGAAUAGCCAUUAGAAAUGGUGGGUAAUACUGUAUAAUCCCCGAGGGGGAAAGAUUUAUCGCUAUUAGAUGAGCCUACGUUAGAUUAGCUAGUUGGUGAGGUAAUGGCUUACCAAGGCUAUGAUCUAUAGCUGGUCUGAGAGGACGAUCAGCCACACUGGAACUGAGAUACGGUCCAGACUCCUACGGGAGGCAGCAGUGGGGAAUAUUGGACAAUGGGCGAAAGCCUGAUCCAGCUAUGCCGCGUGAGUGAAGAAGGCCUUCGGGUUGUAAAACUCUUUCA
Molecule: ribosomal RNA, 294 nt
Filed under: Ehrlichia canis
Lineage: Bacteria; Pseudomonadati; Pseudomonadota; Alphaproteobacteria; Rickettsiales; Anaplasmataceae
Description: partial 16S ribosomal RNA
Rfam family: Bacterial small subunit ribosomal RNA
Source: RNAcentral